This 219-nucleotide long non-coding RNA is filed under the name Elaeis guineensis (African oil palm). RNAcentral describes it as "long non-coding RNA (EGUI_LNC016589)". Lineage: Eukaryota; Viridiplantae; Streptophyta; Magnoliopsida; Arecales; Arecaceae. The record is from RNAcentral.
AGCUGCUUUUUGCCACUGCUUUAGGCGAUGAUCUUUUUUGCUUUUUCUUAGUGACCCCUGCUCCAGAAGAUUCUGCCUUUGCUGGAGAAGAUGAACUGAUAUCCAUAGGUUGCACUAAGAAACCCUCCUCCUCCUGCAUCAAGGGUGCAAAUCGAGAUCCCCCUUGACGAUCCAUUAUUUUUUCUGAGGAUUUCUCGAGCUACCUCCUUUAGCCGAUUG